UACGAGGGGGGCGAGCGUUGUUCGGAAUUAUUGGGCGUAAAUGGUGCGUAGGCGGUUUGGUAAGUCUUAUGUGAAAUCUACAGGCUCAACUUGUAGUCUGCAUGAGAAACUGCCGGGCUUGAGUAUGGGAGAGGUGAGUGGAAUUCCUGGUGUAGCGGUGAAAUGCGUAGAUAUCAGGAGGAACACCUGUGGCGAAAGCGGCUCACUGGACCAUAACUGACGCUGAUGCACGAAAAGCUAGGGGAGCAAACAGG
Molecule: ribosomal RNA, 254 nt
Filed under: uncultured bacterium
Lineage: Bacteria
Description: partial 16S ribosomal RNA
Rfam family: Bacterial small subunit ribosomal RNA
Source: RNAcentral